CAUGCAAGUCGAGCGGAUGAAGGGAGCUUGCUUCUGGAUUCAGCGGCGGACGGGUGAGUAAUGCCUAGGAAUCUGCCUGGUAGUGGGGGACAACGUUCCGAAAGGAGCGCUAAUACCGCAUACGUCCUACGGGAGAAAGUGGGGGAUCUUCGGACCUCACGCUAUCAGAUGAGCCUAGGUCGGAUUAGCUAGUAGGUGGGGUAAUGGCUCACCUAGGCGACGAUCCGUAACUGGUCUGAGAGGAUGAUCAGUCACACUGGAACUGAGACACGGUCCAGACUCCUACGGGAGGCAGCAGUGGGGAAUAUUGGACAAUGGGCGAAAGCCUGAUCCAGCCAUGCCGCGUGUGUGAAGAAGGUCUUCGGAUUGUAAAGCACUUUAAGUUGGGAGGAAGGGCAGUAAGUUAAUACCUUGCUGUUUUGACGUUACCAACAGAAUAAGCACCGGCUAACUACGUGCCAGCAGCCGCGGUAAUACGUAGGGUGCGAGCGUUAAUCGGAAUUACUGGGCGUAAAGCGUGCGCAGGCGGCUUUGUAAGACGGAUGUGAAAUCCCCGGGCUCAACCUGGGAACUGCAUUUGUGACUGCAAGGCUAGAGUGCGUCAGAGGGAGGUGGAAUUCCGCGUGUAGCAGUGAAAUGCGUAGAGAUGCGGAGGAACACCGAUGGCGAAGGCAGCCUCCUGGGAUGACACUGACGCUCAUGCACGAAAGCGUGGGGAGCAAACAGGAUUAGAUACCCUGGUAGUCCACGCCCUAAACGAUGUCAACUAGUUGUCGGGUCUUCAUUGACUUGGUAACGAAGCUAACGCGUGAAGUUUGACCGCCUGGGGAGUACGGUCGCAAGAUUAAAAACUC
Molecule: ribosomal RNA, 854 nt
Filed under: uncultured Pseudomonas sp.
Lineage: Bacteria; Pseudomonadati; Pseudomonadota; Gammaproteobacteria; Pseudomonadales; Pseudomonadaceae
Description: bacterial SSU rRNA
Rfam family: Bacterial small subunit ribosomal RNA
Source: RNAcentral